Molecule: transfer RNA, 75 nt
Filed under: Candidatus Ryanbacteria bacterium RIFCSPHIGHO2_01_FULL_45_22
Lineage: Bacteria; Candidatus Ryaniibacteriota
Also listed under: 1 other name
Description: tRNA-Val
Rfam family: tRNA
About the family: Transfer RNA (tRNA) molecules are approximately 80 nucleotides in length. Their secondary structure includes four short double-helical elements and three loops (D, anti-codon, and T loops).
Source: RNAcentral
GCGCGGUUAGCUCAGUGGUAGAGCGUUUGCUCGACACGCAAAAGGCCAUAGGUUCGAUCCCUAUACCGCGCACCA